GGCAAGGUGGCCGAGCGGUCUAAGGCGCCAGACUAAGGAAAACGUGAGAAACAUCAGUUUCUAUCAACAUGAGGGCCAUGGCAGUUUCUGUCUAAGCAAAUAUCUGGUCCGAAAGGGCGUGGGUUCGAAUCCCAUCCUUGUCA
This is a non-coding RNA of Armillaria borealis, 143 nucleotides long. NCBI's taxonomy places the organism in Eukaryota, Fungi, Basidiomycota, Agaricomycetes, Agaricales, Physalacriaceae. The record is from the annotation of a GenBank genome assembly.